This 468-nucleotide ribosomal RNA is filed under the name uncultured bacterium. RNAcentral describes it as "partial 16S ribosomal RNA". It matches the Rfam family "Bacterial small subunit ribosomal RNA", at positions 28 to 507 of the family's 1533-position model. The record is from RNAcentral.
GACGAACGCUGGCGGCGUGCUUAACACAUGCAAGUCGAACGGAAAGGCCCUGCUUUUGUGGGGUGCUCGAGUGGCGAACGGGUGAGUAACACGUGAGUAACCUGCCCUUGACUUUGGGAUAACUUCAGGAAACUGGGGCUAAUACCGGAUAGGAGCUCCUGCUGCAUGGUGGGGGUUGGAAAGUUUCGGCGGUUGGGGAUGGACUCGCGGCUUAAGAGCUUGUGGGGGGGGUAGGGGCUAACCAAGGCUUUGACGGGUAGCCGGCCUGAGAGGGUGACCGGCCACAUUGGGACUGAGAUACGGACCAGACUCCUACGGGAGGCAGCAGUGGGGAAUAUUGCACAAUGGGCGGAAGCCUGAUGCAGCAGCGCCGCGUGCGGGAUGACGGCCUUCGGGUUGUAAACCGCUUUCGCCUGUGACGAAGCGUGAGUGACGGUAAUGGGUAAAGAAGCACCGGCUAACUACGUG